This 446-nucleotide ribosomal RNA is filed under the name uncultured bacterium. RNAcentral describes it as "bacterial SSU rRNA". It matches the Rfam family "Bacterial small subunit ribosomal RNA", at positions 29 to 524 of the family's 1533-position model. The record is from RNAcentral.
AACGAACGCUGGCGGCAGGCCUAACACAUGCAAGUCGAACGCACCGCAAGGUGAGUGGCGCACGGGUGAGUAACACGUGGGAAUGUACCCUUUGGUUCGGAAUAACGUUUGGAAACGAACGCUAAUACCGGAUGAGCCCUGCGGGGGAAAGAUUUAUCGCCAAAGGAGCAGCCCGCGUCUGAUUAGCUAGUUGGUGGGGUAAAGGCCUACCAAGGCGACGAUCAGUAGCUGGUCUGAGAGGAUGAUCAGCCACACUGGGACUGAGACACGGCCCAGACUCCUACGGGAGGCAGCAGUGGGGAAUAUUGGACAAUGGGCGCAAGCCUGAUCCAGCCAUGCCGCGUGAGUGAUGAAGGCCUUCGGUUGUAAGCUCUUUCGCACGCGACGAUGAUGACGGUAGCGUGAGAAGAAGCCCCGGCUAACUUCGUGCCAGCAGCCGCGGUAAU